CGGGUAUGGCGGCCAGCCUCUGGAUGGGCGACCUGGAACCCUACAUGGAUGAGAACUUCAUCUCCAGAGCCUUUGCCACCAUGGGGGAGACCGUAAUGAGCGUCAAAAUUAUCCGAAACCGCCUCACUGGGAUCCCAGCUGGCUACUGCUUUGUAGAAUUCGCAGAUUUGGCCACAGCUGAGAAGUGUUUGCAUAAAAUUAAUGGGAAACCCCUUCCAGGAGCCACACCUGUAAGGACAUUUAGAUAAUGAUGAUGUUGCCAUUAUUAUUGUCGUUGCUUACUACCAUCUAUUGACUCCCUACUGUAUACUUAUUUUAUUUAAUCCUAUAACAACCCUUUACAGUAGGCAUUGUUAUCUUUGUAGGCCCAGGAAACUGAAGCUCAGGGAAUUGAAAUAACUUGCCCAAGGCAACACAGGUAGUAAAUGGCAGAGCCAGGAUUCAGACUGAAGAUUGGUUGCCUCCCAAAUCCAUGCCUUUCCAUUCUGCAUCGCUGCCUCCCAUAACCGAAGACUUGAAACUCUAGACCUCUUGCCUGAUUGGGAAACUAGAAUAGGCUGGCAGCAGCAAGGACACAUUUCAAGAGAGUUGCAUUCUGCUCUUCCCACAGUUACUUAGCUUACAGCUGCACCAGCUGGCACACCUGGGCUCAUAGAACCAUGGAGCUGGCAGUGCCCUUAGCGGUCAUCCGUGCAACCCCCUCAUUUUAUACAGGAGAAAAAGCUGAGGCUUAGAGAGGGGGAGAUGUUUUGGCCAAGGUAAUUUAUUUCAGUUUUUUUCAAAUAUUGUUCAACUCUUGAAGCACCUUUCUCUGUUUUAGUUUGUUUGUUUUUAAACUUCCAGGCGAAACGCUUUAAACUGAACUAUGCCACUUAUGGGAAACAACCAGAUAACAGCCCUGAGUAUUCCCUCUUUGUGGGGGACCUGACCCCGGAUGUGGAUGAUGGCAUGCUGUAUGAAUUCUUCGUCAAAGUCUACCCCUCCUGUCGGGGAGGCAAGGUGGUUUUGGACCAGACAGGCGUGUCUAAGGGUUAUGGUUUUGUGAAAUUCACAGAUGAACUGGAACAGAAGCGAGCCCUGACGGAGUGCCAGGGAGCAGUGGGACUGGGGUCUAAGCCUGUGCGGCUAAGCGUGGCAAUCCCUAAAGCGAGCCGUGUAAAGCCAGUGGAAUAUAGUCAGAUGUACAGUUAUAGCUACAACCAGUAUUAUCAGCAGUACCAGAACUACUAUGCUCAGUGGGGCUAUGACCAGAACACAGGCAGCUACAGCUACAGUUACCCCCAGUAUGGCUAUACCCAGAGCACCAUGCAGACAUAUGAAGAAGUUGGAGAUGAUGCAUUGGAAGACCCCAUGCCACAGCUGGAUGUGACUGAGGCCAACAAGGAGUUCAUGGAACAGAGUGAGGAGCUGUAUGACGCUCUGAUGGACUGUCACUGGCAGCCCCUGGACACAGUGUCUUCAGAGAUCCCUGCCAUGAUGUAGCCAGGCCCAAGGACAAGCCAGGCUGUACGAUGUGAGGGAGAUGAGAGACUCCUUUUUAAAAAUUGUGAAACCUUUUUGGAAAUAUGAUUUGUAAGAUUUUAAUGAUGACUGUUUCUGGAGAUCAUGAA
Molecule: small RNA, 1610 nt
Filed under: Pongo abelii (Sumatran orangutan)
Lineage: Eukaryota; Metazoa; Chordata; Mammalia; Primates; Hominidae
Description: processed transcript
Source: RNAcentral